This 253-nucleotide ribosomal RNA is filed under the name uncultured prokaryote. RNAcentral's name for it is "partial 16S ribosomal RNA". It matches the Rfam family "Bacterial small subunit ribosomal RNA", at positions 524 to 776 of the family's 1533-position model. The record is from RNAcentral.
GACGUAGGGCGCAAGCGUUGUCCGGAUUUAUUGGGCGUAAAGAGCUCGUAGGCGGCUUGUUGCGUCGACCGUGAAAACCCGUGGCUCAACUGCGGGCUUGCGGUCGAUACGGGCGGGCUAGAGUUCGGUAGGGGAGACUGGAAUUCCUGGUGUAGCGGUGAAAUGCGUAGAGAUCGGGAGGAACACCAGUGGCGAAGGCGGCUACCUGGACCAGCACUGACACUGAGGCACGAAAGCGUGGGGAGCCAACAGG